Non-coding RNA from Triticum urartu, 115 nucleotides. Lineage: Eukaryota; Viridiplantae; Streptophyta; Magnoliopsida; Poales; Poaceae. The record is from Rfam.
UAUAUACUUCCUCCGUUCGAAAUUACUUGUCUUGGAAAUGGUUGUAUCUAAAACUAAAAUACGUCUAGAUACAUUCAUUUCUACGACAAGUAAUUCCGAACGAAGGGAGUACAUC